This 303-nucleotide unclassified non-coding RNA is filed under the name plant metagenome. RNAcentral describes it as "partial contains 5.8S ribosomal RNA, internal transcribed spacer 2, and large subunit ribosomal RNA". The stretch from base 1 to 105 matches the Rfam family "5.8S ribosomal RNA", at positions 50 to 154 of the family's 154-position model. The record is from RNAcentral.
GAAAUGCGAUAAGUAGUGUGAAUUGCAGAAUUCAGUGAAUCAUCGAAUCUUUGAACGCACAUUGCGCCCGCCAGUAUUCUGGCGGGCAUGCCUGUUCGAGCGUCAUUUCAACCAUCAAGCCCCGGGCUUGUGUUGGGGACCUGCGGCUGCCACAGGCCCUGAAAAGCAGUGGCGGGCUCGCUGUCACACCGAGCGUAGUAGCAUACAUCUCGCUCUGGGCGUGCUGCGGGUUCCGGCCGUUAAACCACCUUCGUAACCCAAGGUUGACCUCGGAUCAGGUAGGAAGACCCGCUGAACUUAAGC